RNAcentral lists this ribosomal RNA (535 nucleotides) under uncultured bacterium. RNAcentral describes it as "bacterial SSU rRNA". It matches the Rfam family "Bacterial small subunit ribosomal RNA", at positions 777 to 1304 of the family's 1533-position model. The record is from RNAcentral.
AAUAGAUACCCCGGUAGUCCACGCCGUAAACGGUGGGCACUAGGUGUGGGCAACAUUCCACGUUGUCCGUGCCGCAGCUAACGCAUUAAGUGCCCCGCCUGGGGAGUACGGCCGCAAGGCUAAAACUCAAAGGAAUUGACGGGGGGCCCGCACAAGCGGCGGAGCAUGUGGCUUAAUUCGACGCAACGCGAAGAACCUUACCAAGGCUUGACAUACACCGGAAACAUCCAGAGAUGGGUGCCCCCUUGUGGUCGGUGUACAGGUGGUGCAUGGCUGUCGUCAGCUCGUGUCGUGAGAUGUUGGGUUAAGUCCCGCAACGAGCGCAACCCUUGUCCCGUGUUGCCAGCAGGCCCUUGUGGUGCUGGGGACUCACGGGAGACCGCCGGGGUCAACUCGGAGGAAGGUGGGGACGACGUCAAGUCAUCAUGCCCCUUAUGUUUUGGGCUGCACACGUGCUACAAUGGCCGGUACAAUGAGCUGCGAUACCGCGAGGUGGAGCGAAUCUCAAAAAGCCGGUCUCAGUUCGGAUUGGGGU